UACGGAGGGUGCAAGCGUUGUUCGGAUUUACUGGGCGUAAAGCGCGCGCAGGUGGGUGAACAAGUCGGAAGUGAAAUCUUGAGGCUCAACCUCGAGGCUGCUCCCGAAACUGUUCGCCUAGGGACUGGUAGAGGCUGGUAGAAUUCCCGGUGUAGCGGUGGAAUGCGUAGAGAUCGGGAAGAAUACCCGUGGCGAAGGCGGCCAGCUGGGCCAGAUCCGACACUGAGGCGCGAAAGCGUGGGGAGCAAACAGG
RNAcentral lists this ribosomal RNA (253 nucleotides) under uncultured bacterium. RNAcentral's name for it is "partial 16S ribosomal RNA". It matches the Rfam family "Bacterial small subunit ribosomal RNA", at positions 524 to 776 of the family's 1533-position model. The record is from RNAcentral.